This 693-nucleotide long non-coding RNA is filed under the name Nicotiana tabacum (common tobacco). Its description in RNAcentral is "long non-coding RNA (NTAB_LNC001018)". Lineage: Eukaryota; Viridiplantae; Streptophyta; Magnoliopsida; Solanales; Solanaceae. The record is from RNAcentral.
CAGCCGCAGUCCUCUGCCGAUCAAGACUCACCGAAAUCGGACGAGUCACUCACCCAAACUCGCCUCAUAUGAUCCCCCAUGGUCCCCCCUCCUCUCAUCUCCUUCUUCCACGUCACCUACUCGUACAAAUCUCAUGAUUCUUUAAACCGAUUCACGCCUCUCUUCAUUCUUUUUGUUUUUUUUGAAGCAAAUCUGAACCCUUGAAUAAAUUUUGGAAGAAUGGGAACCAUUGGAUGAAGAUUUUUGUCCAAAGUUUUCAUUUUUCCGAUUUUUGUUUGUAAAAGAGGAUUUCCGGAUUUGAUUUUGUGGCCCCACAUGAUUUCUUGCUGAAGAAGGAGAAGCAUCGAGAGAGAGUUAUAUAUUGAGGUUUUGGGCAGAGAUUUCGGAAAAACAUUUCAAGAAAGAUUGGAGAUGGAGAAAAAUUAGGGUUCUUUCUUUCAUUGGGAUUUUUUUUUCAAUUUUCUUUCUUUCAAAAAUUCAAAAAAAAAAGAGCUUGAGUUUCUUUCAAAUUUUGUUUCUAACUCAGAAAAUCAGAAACAUAUAAAAGAUCUUAAUUCAUUUUUUUCUGGAUUUUGCUUCAAACGUGGAAUUCGAUUAAAGUUUAGGUUCGAGGUUUGCAUCUGGUUUGAGAUUCGAGGUGUCGUCCGAGGUUUAAGGUCGUGAUUCUUGGUCCAGUCUAGCCACUGUACUUGC